GACGAACGCUGGCGGCGUGCUUAACACAUGCAAGUCGAACGGAAAGGCCCUGCUUGCAGGGUACUCGCGUGGGGAACGGGUGAGUAACACGCGGGUGAUCUGCCCUGCACUUCGGGAUAAGCCUUGGGAAAUGGGGCGAUUACCGCGGAGGAGCCAUCUUGAGUGUGAUGGUUGGAUGGUUUGUGCGGUGUGGGAUGGGCUGGCGGCCUAUCAGCUUGUUGGUGGGUUAAUGGCUUACCAAGGCGGGGACGGGUAGCCGGCCUGAGAGGGUGGGCGGCCACAUUGGGACUGAGAUACGGCCCAGACUCCUACGGGAGGCAGCAGUGGGGAAUAUUGCACAAUGGGCGGAAGCCUGAUACAGCGACGCCGCGUGGGGGAUGACGGCCUUCGGGUUGUAAACUCCUUUCGCCUGGGACGAAGCUUUUGUGACGGUACCUGGAUAAGAAGCACCGGCUAACUACGUG
RNAcentral lists this ribosomal RNA (464 nucleotides) under uncultured bacterium. RNAcentral describes it as "partial 16S ribosomal RNA". It matches the Rfam family "Bacterial small subunit ribosomal RNA", at positions 28 to 507 of the family's 1533-position model. The record is from RNAcentral.